GACGAACGCUGGCGGCGUGCUUAAUACAUGCAAGUCGAACGGAAAGGCCCUGCUUUUGUGGGGUGCUCGAGUGGCGAACGGGUGAGUAAAACGUGAGUAACCUGCCCCUGACUUUGGGAGAACUUCAGGAAACAGGGGCUCAUACCGGGUAGGAGCUCCUGCUGCACGGUGGGGGUUGGUGAGUGGCGGCGGUUGGGGAUGGUCUCGGGGUUUCUCAGCUUGUUGGUGGGGGAGUGGCUUACCACGGCUUUGACGGGUAGCCGGCCUGAGAGGGUGACCGGCCACAUUGGGACCCGGAUGGGGCCCAGAGUCCAACGUGCGGCAGCGGUGGGAAAUAGUGCACGAUGGGCCGAGGCCUGAUGGAGCAACGCCGGGUGCGGGAUGACGGCCUUCGGGUUGUAAACAGCUUUGGCCUGUGACGAAGCGUGAGUGACGGUAAUUGGUAAGAAAGCACCGGCUAACUACGUG
This 468-nucleotide ribosomal RNA is filed under the name uncultured bacterium. RNAcentral's name for it is "partial 16S ribosomal RNA". It matches the Rfam family "Bacterial small subunit ribosomal RNA", at positions 28 to 507 of the family's 1533-position model. The record is from RNAcentral.